GGGCAUGUAGUAUAGUUGGUUAUUGCGCCCGCUUCGCAUACGUAUUUCGACUGCGGUUUGCGGGAGGUCUGGCGUUCGAAUCGCCACUUGUCCA
Non-coding RNA from Mycena rebaudengoi, 94 nucleotides. The record is from the annotation of a GenBank genome assembly. NCBI's taxonomy places the organism in Eukaryota, Fungi, Basidiomycota, Agaricomycetes, Agaricales, Mycenaceae.